Molecule: ribosomal RNA, 253 nt
Filed under: uncultured bacterium
Lineage: Bacteria
Description: partial 16S ribosomal RNA
Rfam family: Bacterial small subunit ribosomal RNA
Source: RNAcentral
UACGAAGGGGGCUAGCGUUGCUCGGAAUCACUGGGCGUCCAGCGCACGUAGGCGGACUCUUAAGUCGGUGGUGAAAUCCUGGAGCUCAACUCCAGAACUGCCUUCGAUACUGAGAGUCUCGAGUCCGGGAGAGGUGAGUGGAACUGCGAGUGUAGAGGUGAAAUUCGUAGAUAUUCGCAAGAACACCAGUGGCGAAGGCGGCUCACUGGCCCGGUACUGACGCUGAGGUGCGAAAGCGUGGGGAGCAAACAGG